AAUUCUGUUACACUUUAUUUUUUUCAGUCUGCACAUGUUGCUAGGUUGGUGUUGAACUCCUGAGCUCGAGCGAUCCACCUGCCACUGCCUUCCAAAGUGCUGGAAUUACAGGCGUGAGCCACGGCGCCCGGUGGCCGAGGUUAUAAUUAUUUUUCCCUUGUGGGAAAUAUUCCAGUUUUAGAAUUUCUGAUGCCUUUGAAUUGCCCAGGAGGUUUCUGGAUAGAACCAUGGAGCUAAGUGAAGUCUAGACUGAAAAUUAAAGCUGUUAAGUGUGAAGUGUGUAGGGAAAAAUUAAAGUCUUGAGUAUUCAUGAAGUAAACUUGGAAGACAGCCUAAGUGUGUGCAGUGAAGAAUUCCAGUUUAUUUUUGACUAGGUAGAGGAAGAUGAACUGGAUAAGGAGGAGUUACACAGUUACCAGCAGGGUGUUGCGCUACUGAAGAUGAGUAAGGCUUCAUGGAAAGAGUGGUGAAUAAUGUCCAGUUGCUGUAUAAGAAUUAGGUGGAAGGAUUAGCACAUAUUAAUCAUCUAAAAAACAAAUACAUUAAUAUCUUCAAAGUCUGAUUUGGGAGAAUUUGUUUUCAUUGUUUUUUUUCAAACAGGAACUGAACAAUACCAUCAUUUACAGUUACGGGCUAUGGGUGGUCACUUAAUUGGUGUGAUUUGAGACUGAGAACCUCCUGUUCCACAAAUCUAUACUUCAUCCUCUACUAAUGCUUGAAAAGUCAUUGAUAGAAAUCUGUUUUAAAGCAUAUAUUCCUGGGAAGAGUAAUAUGUUUAGAAGAUACAUAAUUCUCAGCUGUGCCAAAAUUUAGAAUUAACUGAGGAGUUGUGUACUAAAAAUGCUCAAGAUUAUAUUCCAUGGUUCUGAGGUGGGGCCUUGGCACAUGCAUUUUUUUAAAAGCUCCCCUAGGUGAUUCUAAUGUGCCAUUGUUGAAAAAUCAUUGACAGCAUCCUAUUAACACAGUAUUGACUCAUAACGUUUUGUUUAGAUGACAUGUGGGUAGGACAGGACACCUAUUUAUAAAACAGUGGUUGGUAAUGGCCAUUGAGUAGGGAGGAUUUCGCCCAAAAGAGAACAUUUGCCAAAAUCUGGAAACAUUUUUGUGGUCAUCCCAGUGGGUGGGUUUUGCGGAGUUGGCACUAUUCAUACAUAGUAGUUAGAGGCCAGGAUACUGUUAAAAAUCCUGCAGUGUACUGCACAGCCCCCUCUCCUCUCAUAAGAAAGAAUUAUCUGGCUCAAAAUGACAAGAGUGCCCUUGUUGAAAAAACUUGCUGUAAGCGAUGGCAAGCUAGGUAGUAUUUUCCAGUGAAAUCUUACACAGAUUGGAGUUGUGGUUUGGUAAGGGUGCUAAUGAAUGAGGAUCUACUCUCUACCUAACAGCUUAGCCAAAACUCACCCUUUCUUAUAACCA
Molecule: long non-coding RNA, 1413 nt
Filed under: Homo sapiens (human)
Lineage: Eukaryota; Metazoa; Chordata; Mammalia; Primates; Hominidae
Description: non-protein coding LINC02062:33
Source: RNAcentral